RNAcentral lists this ribosomal RNA (451 nucleotides) under uncultured Fibrobacter sp. RNAcentral's name for it is "bacterial SSU rRNA". It matches the Rfam family "Bacterial small subunit ribosomal RNA", at positions 341 to 792 of the family's 1533-position model. The record is from RNAcentral. Lineage: Bacteria; Pseudomonadati; Fibrobacterota; Fibrobacteria; Fibrobacterales; Fibrobacteraceae.
ACGGGAGGCAGCAGUAGGGAAUAUUGCACAAUGGGGGGAACCCUGAUGCAGCAACGCCACGUGUGGGAAGAAGCAUUUCGGUGUGUAAACCACUGUCGUGAGGGAAUAAUGCUUGGCUCCGGCCAAGUUGAAUGUACCUCGAAAGGAAGCACCGGCAAACUUCGUGCCAGCAGCCGCGGUAAUACGAGGGGUGCAAGCGUUGUUCGGAAUCACUGGGCGUAAAGGGAGCGUAGGCGGAGACGCAAGCAGUCUGUACAAUACCGGGGCCCAACCCCGGACCUGCAGACUGGACUGUGUCUCUCGGAUAGUUCAGGGGCAGGCGGAAUUCCUGGUGUAGCGGUGGAAUGCGUAGAGAUCAGGAAGAACACCGAUGGCGAAGGCAGCCUGCUGGGGACUCAUCGACGCUGAGGCUCGAAAGUGCGGGUAGCAAACAGGAUUAGACACCCUGGUA